UACGAAGGGGGCUAGCGUUGUUCGGAAUCACUGGGCGUAAAGGGAGCGUAGGCGGCGUGGUAAGUCAGAUGUGAAAUCCCGGGGCUCAACCCCGGAACUGCAUCCGAUACUGCCAUGCUAGAGGAUUGGAGAGGUAGCUGGAAUUCUUGGUGUAGCAGUGAAAUGCGUAGAGAUCAAGAGGAACACUCGUGGCGAAAGCGAGCUACUGGACAAUUCCUGACGCUGAGGCUCGAAGGCUAGGGUAGCGAAAGGG
Molecule: ribosomal RNA, 253 nt
Filed under: uncultured bacterium
Lineage: Bacteria
Description: partial 16S ribosomal RNA
Rfam family: Bacterial small subunit ribosomal RNA
Source: RNAcentral